Molecule: ribosomal RNA, 428 nt
Filed under: uncultured bacterium
Lineage: Bacteria
Description: partial 16S ribosomal RNA
Rfam family: Bacterial small subunit ribosomal RNA
Source: RNAcentral
GUGGGGAAUAUUGGGCAAUGGGGGCAACCCUGACCCAGCAACGCCGCGUGAAGGAAGAAGGCUUUCGGGUUGUAAACUUCUUUGACCAGGGACGAAACAAAUGACGGUACCUGGAAAACAAGCCACGGCUAACUACGUGCCAGCAGCCGCGGUAAUACGUAGGUGGCGAGCGUUGUCCGGAUUUACUGGGUGUAAAGGGCGCGUAGGCGGGAUGGCAAGUCAGAUGUGAAAUCUGAGGGCUUAACCCUCAAACUGCAUUUGAAACUGCUGUUCUUGAGUGAUGGAGAGGCAGGCGGAAUUCCUAGUGUAGCGGUGAAAUGCGUAGAUAUUAGGAGGAACACCAGUGGCGAAGGCGGCCUGCUGGACAUUAACUGACGCUGAGGCGCGAAAGCGUGGGGAGCAAACAGGAUUAGAUACCCUAGUAGUCC